This 192-nucleotide unclassified non-coding RNA is filed under the name soil metagenome. RNAcentral describes it as "partial internal transcribed spacer 1". The record is from RNAcentral.
UUGAGUUUUAUAAGUAGAAGUUUGUUGUGAAUGCAACUAAUUUCUAUGAUUAUUCUCUUAUCCCCUUUGAUAUUAUUUCUUAGUUGCUUUGGUAGUAGUUUGAUUACUAUUACCAAGGGAAGUUAUAAACUCUUUGAAGCCAAUAUAGUUGGAGAAUGAUUUGUCAGACUUUUAUUUUUAUAAUAUUAAUUA